CCUACGGGUGGCAGCAGUGGGGAAUAUUGCGCAAUGGGCGAAAGCCUGACGCAGCGACGCCGCGUGAGGGAUGAAGGUCUUCGGAUCGUAAACCUCUGUCAGCAGGGAAGAACGGUCACUGUGCUAAUCAGCAGUGAAUUGACGGUACCUGCAAAGGAAGCACCGGCUAACUCCGGGCCAGCAGCCGCGGUAAUACGGAGGGUGCGAGCGUUAAUCGGAAUUACUGGGCGUAAAGCGCUCGUAGGCGGUAUGUCAAGUCAAGGGUGAAAUCCCCGCGCUCAACGUGGGAACUGCUUUUGAAACUGGCAAACUGGAGUGUGUGAGAGGAUAGUGGAAUGCCAGGUGUAGGAGUGAAAUGCGUAGAUAUCUGGAAGAACAUCAGUGGCGAAGGCGACUAUCUGGCACAUAACUGACGCUGAGGAGCGAAAGCGUGGGUAGCAAACAGGAUUAGAUACCCUUGUAGUC
RNAcentral lists this ribosomal RNA (465 nucleotides) under uncultured bacterium. RNAcentral describes it as "partial 16S ribosomal RNA". It matches the Rfam family "Bacterial small subunit ribosomal RNA", at positions 338 to 795 of the family's 1533-position model. The record is from RNAcentral.